GACGAACGCUGGCGGCGUGCCUAAUACAUGCAAGUAGAACGCACAGUUUAUACCGUAGCUUGCUACACCAUAGACUGUGAGAUGCGAACGGGUGAGGAACGCGUAGGUAACCUGCCUGGUAGCGGGGGAUAACUAUUGGAAACGAUAGCUAAUACCGCAUAAUAUUGAUUAUUGCAUGAUAAUUGCUAGAAAGAAGCUAUGGCAUCACUACCCGAUGGACCUGCGAUGUAUUAGCUAGUAGGUGAGGUAACGGCUCACCUAGGCGUCGAUACAUAGCCGACCGCGGGGGUGAUCAGCCUCCCUGGGAAUUUGACUCGGCCCAAAUUCCUUCGGGAGGCCGCCGUAGGGAAUCUUCCGCAAUAGCCGGAAGUCUGCGCGGGCAACGCCGCGUGGGUGAAGAAGGUUUUCGGAUCGUAUAGCUCCGUUUUCUGAGAAGAACGGGUGUGAGAGUGGAAAGUUCACACUGUGACGGUAUCUUACCAGAAAGGAACGGCUAACUACGUG
RNAcentral lists this ribosomal RNA (504 nucleotides) under uncultured bacterium. RNAcentral describes it as "partial 16S ribosomal RNA". It matches the Rfam family "Bacterial small subunit ribosomal RNA", at positions 28 to 507 of the family's 1533-position model. The record is from RNAcentral.